AGCCCAACUCUAGCUCAACCAAUUACAUUACCCCCAACCUCUUCCACCCAAAAAACCAAAACAUUUUCCCAGCCCAGUAUAGGCGAUAGAAAAGCCCCCACAUAGACGCGAUAGAGAAACGUACCGUAAGGGAAAGCUGAAAUAAAAAUGAAAAUCAAGCACAAAACAGCAAAGAUCAACCCUUGUACCUUUUGCAUCAUGAUUUAGCAAGAACUAACCAAGCAAAACGACUUAAAGCUUGCCUCCCCGAAACCCAAGCGAGCUACUCUCAAGCAGCUAUUUACUGAGCAAACCCGUCUCUGUUGCAAAAGAGUGGGAUGACUUGUUAGUAGAGGUGAAAAGCCAACCGAGCUGGGUGAUAGCUGGUUGCCCGCGAAACGAACCUAAGUUCCACCUUGAUUUGCCUCCACAGGCCCAUUAACCCCUUACGAAGCCAACCAAGAGCAAUCCAAAGGGGGUACAGCCCCUUUAAACCAAAACACACUUUCACAAAGCGGAUAAACCUCUCCACCAAACCACGAAUGUAGGCCUUUAAGCAGCCAUCAACAAAGAAUGCGUCAAAGCUCCAAACCCAAAAAUCUACACAAUACAUGACUCCCUCCUUUUUAGCGUGCCAAUCUAUCUCAAUAGAAGAACUAAUGCUAAAAUGAGUAACUAAGGCAACCCCUCUAAACGGCGUCAGCUUAAACCUACAUAUUAUUAACAAACCUCCCCAUAUAUCAAACCCACCCACAAGAACCAAUAUCAUAAACCCCUGUUAACCCUACCAAUGGAACGCCCACUAAGAGUGAUUAAAACCUACAAAAGGAACUAGGCAAACCCGAGGCCCGACUGUUUACCAAAAACAUAGCCCCCAGCCCACCAAGUAUUGGGGGUGAUGCCUGCCCAGUGACAUUACGUUUAACGGCCGCGGUAUCCUAACCGUGCAAAGGUAGCGCAAUCAAUUGUCUCAUAAAUUGAGACCUGUAUGAAUGGCUAAACGAGGUCCCAACUGUCUCUUGAAGGUAAUCAGUGAAAUUGAUCUCCCCAUGCAAAAGUGGGGAUAAACCCAUUAGACGAGAAGACCCUGUGGAACUUGAAAAUCAACAGCCACCUCCCACCCUACUUUUCCCCCCCAAUAACAGGGCACAUGAAUCUCAAAUGAAACUGGCUUACAUUUUUCGGUUGGGGCGACCUUGGAGAAAAACCAAUCCUCCAAUAAACCAGACCACCCCUCUUAACCUAGAACAACACAUCUACGUGCUAAUAGCCACUGGACCCAGUAUUAACCUGACCAACGGACCAAGCUACCCCAGGGAUAACAGCGCAAUCUCCUCCAAGAGUCCCCAUCGACGAGGAGGUUUACGACCUCGAUGUUGGAUCAGGACAUCCUAGCGGUGCAGCCGCUGCUAAGGGUUCGUUUGUUCAACGAUUAACAGUCCUACGUGAUCUGAGUUCAGACCGGAGCAAUCCAGGUCGGUUUCUAUCUAUGACCAACUUCUUCCAGUACGAAAGGACCGAAGAAGUAAGACCAAUGCCCCAAUGUACGUCUUCACCACAAACAAUGAAACCAACUCAAUUGCUAAAGGUUCCCCGACCACUUAUGCCUUAGAAAAAGGCCC
Molecule: ribosomal RNA, 1601 nt
Filed under: Smithornis sharpei
Lineage: Eukaryota; Metazoa; Chordata; Aves; Passeriformes; Eurylaimidae
Description: 16S ribosomal RNA
Rfam family: Bacterial large subunit ribosomal RNA
Source: RNAcentral